UACGAAGGGAGCUAGCGUUGUUCGGAAUCACUGGGCGUAAAGCGCACGUAGGCGGAUUUGCCAGUCAGGGGUGAAAUCCCGGGGCUCAACCUCGGAACUGCCUUUGAUACAGCAAGUCUUGAGUUCGAGAGAGGUGGGUGGAAUUCCUAGUGUAGAGGUGAAAUUCGUAGAUAUUAGGAAGAACACCGGUGGCGAAGGCGGCCCACUGGCUCGACACUGACGCUGAGUUGCGAAAGCGUGGGGAGCAAACAGG
RNAcentral lists this ribosomal RNA (253 nucleotides) under uncultured bacterium. RNAcentral describes it as "partial 16S ribosomal RNA". It matches the Rfam family "Bacterial small subunit ribosomal RNA", at positions 524 to 776 of the family's 1533-position model. The record is from RNAcentral.